RNAcentral lists this transfer RNA (72 nucleotides) under Streptomyces sp. NRRL B-3648. It matches the Rfam family "tRNA". From Rfam's summary of the family: Transfer RNA (tRNA) molecules are approximately 80 nucleotides in length. Their secondary structure includes four short double-helical elements and three loops (D, anti-codon, and T loops). Lineage: Bacteria; Bacillati; Actinomycetota; Actinomycetes; Kitasatosporales; Streptomycetaceae. The record is from Rfam by way of RNAcentral.
GAGGUUGGGUAUAGUUGGUAGAGCGCAACCUUGCCAAGGUUGAGGUCGCGAGUUCGAGCCUCGUCGUCCGCU